CGGAGGGCUAGCGUUGUUCGGAAUUACUGGGCGUAAAGCGCACGUAGGCGGAUCGGAAAGUUGGGGUGAAAUCCCGGGCUCAACCUCGGAACUGCCUUCAAAACUACUGGUCUGGAGUUCGAGAGAGGUGAGUGGAAUUCCGAGUGUAGAGGUGAAAUUCGUAGAUAUUCGGAGGAACACCAGUGGCGAAGGCGGCUCACUGGCUCGAUACUGACGCUGAGGUGCGAAAGCGUGGGAGCAAACAGGAUU
RNAcentral lists this ribosomal RNA (249 nucleotides) under uncultured bacterium. RNAcentral describes it as "partial 16S ribosomal RNA". It matches the Rfam family "Bacterial small subunit ribosomal RNA", at positions 528 to 779 of the family's 1533-position model. The record is from RNAcentral.